RNAcentral lists this ribosomal RNA (254 nucleotides) under uncultured bacterium. Its description in RNAcentral is "partial 16S ribosomal RNA". It matches the Rfam family "Bacterial small subunit ribosomal RNA", at positions 524 to 776 of the family's 1533-position model. The record is from RNAcentral.
UACGAAGGGGGGCUAGCGUUGUUCGGAUUUACUGGGCGUAAGGCGCACGUAGGCGGAUUGUUAAGUGAGGGGUGAAAUCCUGGAGCUCAACUCCAGAACUGCCUUUCAUACUGGCAAUCUAGAGUCCGGAAGAGGUAAGUGGAACUCCUAGUGUAGAGGUGGAAUUCGUAGAUAUUAGGAAGAACACCAGUGGCGAAGGCGGCUCACUGGUCCGAUACUGACGCUGAGGUGCGAAAGCGUGGGGAGCAAACAGG